GCCUAGCCCUAAACCUUGGUAACAUAUCACAUACCCUACCCGCCUGGGAACUACGAGCACCAGCUUAAAACCCAAAGGACUUGGCGGUGCUUUAGACCCCCCUAGAGGAGCCUGUUCUAGAACCGAUAACCCCCGUUCAACCUCACCCUUCCUUGUUUAUCCCGCCUAUAUACCGCCGUCGUCAGCUUACCCUGUGAAGGCCUAAAAGUAAGCACAACUGGUACAACCCAAAACGUCAGGUCGAGGUGUAGCGCAUGGAGGGGGAAGAAAUGGGCUACAUUCCCUACAUUAGGGAACACGAACGGCGCACUGAAACACGCGCCUGAAGGAGGAUUUAGUAGUAAGCGGAAAAUAGCGUGUUCCGCUGAAAUCGGCCCUGAAGCGCGC
RNAcentral lists this ribosomal RNA (387 nucleotides) under Sebastes capensis (false jacopever). RNAcentral describes it as "partial 12S ribosomal RNA". It matches the Rfam family "Bacterial small subunit ribosomal RNA", at positions 794 to 1384 of the family's 1533-position model. The record is from RNAcentral. Lineage: Eukaryota; Metazoa; Chordata; Actinopteri; Perciformes; Sebastidae. RNAcentral also lists the same sequence under 2 other names.